Molecule: ribosomal RNA, 254 nt
Filed under: uncultured bacterium
Lineage: Bacteria
Description: partial 16S ribosomal RNA
Rfam family: Bacterial small subunit ribosomal RNA
Source: RNAcentral
UACGAAGGGGGCUAGCGUUGCUCGGAAUGACUGGGCGUAAAGGGCGCGUAGGCGGCUUGCACAGUCAGGCGUGAAAUUCCUGGGCUCAACCUGGGACUGCGCUUGAGACGUGUGGGCUUGAGUGGGGAAGAGGGUCGUGGAAUUCCCAGUGUAGAGGUGAAAUUCGUAGAUAUUGGGAAGAACACCGGUGGCGAAGGCGGCGACCUGGUCCUUGACUGACGCUGGAGGCGACGAAAGCGUGGGGAGCAAACAGG